AGUCCCAGCUCCUGCAGCCGCUCCAGCUCCAGCUCCUGCAGCCGCUCCAGCUCCAGCUCCUGAAGCCGCUCCAGAUCCAGCUCCUGAAGCCGCUCCAGCUCCAGCUUCUACCACUGCUCCAGUCCCAGCUCCUGCAACUGCUCCAGCUCCAGCUCCUGAAGCCGCUACAGCUCCGGUUCCUGCAACUGCUCCAGCUCCAGCUCCUGCAGCCGCUACAGCUCCUGUGGCCGUGUCAGAGAAACGAGCUGUAGCAGUGCAAGUUGACCCUGCAGAGGGUAUUCCAACCCCUGUAACGGGGUCAGAGAAACGAGCUGUAGCAGUACAAGUUGACCCUGCAGAGGGUAUUCCAACCUCUGUGACAGACCCUGUAACAAAGUCAGAGAAACGAGCAGUAGCAGUGCAAGCUGCCCCUGUAGAGAAGGUGAAAAUAUGGUAUAGAAAUUCAAGUCGUUUAGAACGCAGAGAGUCUUCUGCCAAUCCAGGUAAGGCUUCUGCCAAAACUAAGUAUAGAGAUGACGAAGAUGACGACGACGCUGGGCCAUCAAGGAUUCAGGAGGAGGAAGAUGAGGAUGCCGAAAAAGCAACAGUAACUACCCGAAGCCUAAACGAGCGCGAGCUACGAGAUGUGCGAAAAGAUUUUGGUCGCUGUAUAGGUGAGCAGCUUGUCACCUGGCUGCUCCGGUGCUGGGACUCUGGAGCCAAUUGUGUGGAAUUAGACGGCAGGGAAGCCAGACGGUUGGGAUCCCUUGCUCGAGACGCCGGCAUUGACAAAGCAAUUGCAGAUGGAGCACAAUCCACCAGCCUCUGGAGGCGUCUCCUCUCAGCUGUGAGGGAAAGGUAUCCCUUCAAGGAAGAACUUUUAUGUCUACCAGGCAAGUGGACCACUAUGGAGAAGGGAAUCCAGUACCUGAGGGAAUUAGCCGUACGGGAAGUGAUUUAUGAGGAUCCAGACCUCAGACAAACAUCCAAAGACCCAGAUGAAGUCAAGUGUACACGACCCAUGUGGCGGAAGUUUGUACAGAGUGCACCAUCAUCAUAUGCCAGCUCAUUGGCAAUAAUGGCCUGGAAAGAGGAUGAGGAACCCACAGUGGAUGAAGUGGCUAAACAACUCCGGCAGUACGAAGAAAGUCUCUCCUCUUCCUUACAGGCCUGCGUCUCAGCUGUGGAGAAACUUUCUGAAAAGGUUCACCAACUUGAAGAGAAUCUAUCUUCCUCCCCACCUGAACCAACCAGUGCCCACCGACCGAAAGAGAACACCUGGGAGAAAACACUUUCUGAAAAGUUUCACCAACUUGAAGAGAGAUUAUUCUCCUCCGCACCUGUACAAAGCAGUGUCUCAGCUAUCAGGGGUAGGCGUUCAUCUACACAAGGAAGACGAUAUGGUGGGUACUCACCCCGUGCCACCCUGUGGUUUUACUUACGAGACCAUGGAAGGCAGCCAAGUGGUACGCCACAAUUGAUAUCGCUAAUGCAUUUUUCUCCAUCCCUCUAGCAGCAGAGUGCAGGCCACAAUUUGCCUUCACUUGGAGGGGAGUCCAAUAUACUUGGAAUCGGCUGUCCCAGGGGUGGAAACACAGCCCUACCAUUUGCCAUGGGCUGAUCCAGUCUGCGCUAGAGCAGGGGGAAGCUCCUGAACACCUGCAGUACAUCGAUGACAUUAUUGUGUGGGGUGACACAGCAGAGGAAGUUUUCGAGAAAGGGAAGAAAAUAGUCCAAAUCCUUCUGAAAGCCGGUUUUGCCAUAAAACAAAAUAAAGUCAAAGGACCUGCACGAGAGAUCCA
This 1781-nucleotide long non-coding RNA is filed under the name Anas platyrhynchos platyrhynchos (common mallard). RNAcentral describes it as "lncRNA (ENSAPLG00000026588.1)". The record is from RNAcentral. Lineage: Eukaryota; Metazoa; Chordata; Aves; Anseriformes; Anatidae.